RNAcentral lists this ribosomal RNA (445 nucleotides) under uncultured bacterium. Its description in RNAcentral is "bacterial SSU rRNA". It matches the Rfam family "Bacterial small subunit ribosomal RNA", at positions 70 to 512 of the family's 1533-position model. The record is from RNAcentral.
AACAGGGGCUUCGGCCCGCUGACGAGUGGCGAACGGGUGAGUAAUACAUAGGAACGUAUCCGUAAUGGGGGACAACAUCGAGAAAUCGAUGCUAAUACCGCAUACGCCUUACGAGGGAAAGCAGGGGAUCUUCGGACCUUGCGUUAUUGGCGCGGCCUAUGUCUGAUUAGCUAGUUGGUAGGGUAAAGGCCUACCAAGGCGACGAUCAGUAGCUGGUCUGAGAGGAUGAUCAGCCACACUGGGACUGAGACACGGCCCAGACUCCUACGGGAGGCAGCAGUGGGGAAUUUUGGACAAUGGGGGCAACCCUGAUCCAGCCAUGCCGCGUGAGUGAAGAAGGCCUUCGGGUUGUAAAGCUCUUUCAGGUGGGAAGAAAGCUCGCGGGAUAAUACCCCGCGGGGAUGACGGUACCACCAGAAGAAGCACCGGCUAACUACGUGCCAGC